RNAcentral lists this long non-coding RNA (3012 nucleotides) under Venturia canescens. Its description in RNAcentral is "uncharacterized LOC122411054, transcript variant X6". Lineage: Eukaryota; Metazoa; Arthropoda; Insecta; Hymenoptera; Ichneumonidae. The record is from RNAcentral.
UGUUUAUUUUUUACAAAAUCAACCGGAAAUCAUUUGGGAAAUGUAUGUGUAUAAUGUUGAAUAAUUUACAAAGUGAUUGUUUCAUCAUAAUAACGCGAAAGUUGAAUCAAUGGUUUUUCGGGUAUACCCAGCAGCUGACUGACCCAUCUGAUCACAUCUUCCAAAUUCAAUGUUUGUGCAUGUAUACGUGCAUGUUGUUUUAUUCCGUUAACUCUGUUGAGAAAGUGAGUUUAAAGAACUCGUAUCUCCCGCGCCUGCAUGUGCUGCCCUAUAUGGGGGGAAAGACAGUUUUGAGCUGUCGACGAGAGGAGCGUGUGUGUGGACGGUUGAGAGGGGGGGAAGGUCAGUCUUCCGGAAAACGUGUCGAGCGUAGUAACGUCGAUUUCUUUUGUAUUAAAUAAAGUUAUCUUUCUUCAUCGCUUAUCAUCAACGUGUACCGUGUACUAAUUGAUCCACUAAAACCAUUCCUGCUCAUCCUGAAUAAUCCAACAAACUCUACAGAACUGUGGCGCGUCCAUGUUCUUCGAAUCCCGGUGAAUCAGUCAAGUGACUCUUAUAAACAUUCAGAAGGCUGAUGAUUUUUACGAUCUUUAUGGAGGUGAAAAAUUUGUCACUCUCUCGGAUCUCGGAGCUCGUCCAGCUUUACAUGGAGAAUGGGUGGACAGUUUUUUGAGAGAAAAAAAACAGUGAACUUAUUCAACUCAAGUAUCCUCUAAAUCGUGCGGAUCCAACAACCUAAAGAUGCGUAGUUUCAUGGACGUUUAUCCGUCAAACAAGACGAAAGUUUGAUGCUCGAGCGAGGAAAGAACGGAUAUUUUCUCGUCCGCGAAUCGCAGAGCAAACCAGAAGACUUUGUUUUAUCGCUCAGCACCACUGAUGAUCGUGUGUUUUUACUCAUGAUAUGAUACGAUCUCGGAUUCGAAAGCAUUCUAUCACCGUUUUGAAUAUCUCAUGAACGUCGAUUUGCUUAAUUGACCGUCACAUUGCAGGUGGAAAGAUCAGCAGGUUUUCAAGAUCUGAAAUAUAACGUUGGUGGGCGCUGGAGAAAUUUGAUAGUUUGAGCAAUCUGAUGGAGCACGUACUACAAAAUAAAUUUCAUGGUUGAAAUAAGCAGGAGUGUUGCACAUGUAGGACAAUCGUUUUGUGCUACGCGAAUCAACAUUAGUGGCAUAGACAUGAGUCGAGUGAAGCAAUUGCGCAAAGAAAAUGGCUGCUGGAACGUUACAGCGACUGACAACGAGGCAACAGCUGCACGUGCGAAAGGAAAAGCUCGUAUUGGGAACAAAUUGAAUCUCUGCAACGGCUCGAAUGUCGUCAUCGUGUCUCGAGGAAAUAUUAGGGUCUUAGAACGAAGAAUCGAGCAAAGAAUCAUCAUAAGAACAUCUUGUUAGCAAUGCCAGUGCUGUAUUCUUGCCAUACAUCUCAUGAUUAUCAAAUCAAAUGCGCUACAGGCCUGUAGUCGCUUAAUUAGUUCACAUCCGUAAAACGGUGAUAAUCUGGGUGACGGUUUUGUUCAACUGUCGAAAACUUGUUUCGCAAAGUCAUUAAAACUUGAUUCUCACUCAAUAUUGGAUUGAAAUCUUGGAAGGGAAAUAAAAACACGUUCUACUUCAAGUUGCCUACAAGAAUGCUGCAACCAAGAAUGAACAUGUCGAAACACUUUUUGAGAUGAUGACUUUGUACUCGGAAUUUAUCAACUCGAUGCUGAGCACUCGAAACUUGAAAGGACAUUCAGUGGAACCAAUUCUAAUUCUCAUUCAUAAGGAUCACUCGACAAUGUCAUCGUCACACAGAUACACCCUCUCUUUACUUGGGAGUUUACAACACGAUUCUUAGCGACACCGAUCAAUUAAUGUUGCUUAGAUCGUGCCUGAGCGUGGCUUCCUAAAAAAUUUACGAUUAUUCUUUUCAUUCGCAACUGCUGUUCUCGUGAUUUCGUUGCCUGCGCUGCCAGCACAGUUACUCAUCGGAGCGGUGCUCUCGCACUAGUUUUUCGUAGCUUCCGGUAGUGCUUACGUGCGACGUGCGUGGAAAUUCGCCUCGUUGCUAACGUACCGCCGUUAUUUCCCGUUUCGACUUUCAUUACUUUCAUUUUAAAGCCAUCAGGCGAUUCCUGGAGAAACAAUUUAUUUUUCACGUAAUUAAUCAAGAUUGUUUAUUCAAAAUAUUACGAUAAUCAUUGAAUAUUUUAUAAAUCGAAUUUGAAAGCUAGGCAUCAUUGUGCGAUUAAGAGUAACUUUGUUUCAUAUUUUCAGAUUAAAAAAAAAGUCUUUGCAUCAGGUUGUUGGUCGCGUCUCGACUUGCCUCGCUCGCUCCCUCGUGCCCUCCCGUCACGACGGACAACCCCCACGAAUCUUGUUUAUUCACCGAUUAAAAUGUCACAAUUCCAAAAUUAACUGUUGCAAUUAUUUCAAAGCUCGUAGCAGAUUGAACAUACUUUUGAAUAAUAUGGCUAUGGCAUGGAACGCACAACUUUAUAAUAUAUGGAUGUUGCACACUCUCAAAUCUGUCGUUAAAAAUCAUAAAUUAGAAAGACUAUUUUCUUGAAAACUCUCGAUGAGCCAUAUAUUUUUUACAAUAAUUCGUAGAGGCUUAUAUUAUUAUAACUCUUAUAAAACCAUUGAGGUAUGCUCUGAUUCGUCAAGAUUUGAACAAGUUGGUGAAAAUUAGCAAAAAAAUGUAUAUGGGGACGUUGACGAUAUCAUUGAUACGUUGGUAAACGACGCUGAAUAUGUUGGCCAGGAUAGAUGAUGAUCCGAAAGUGCUUGAUGACGAAAUGGUAUAGGUAGCUAUAGGUAGCAAAAAGAUAACCUGCUCAGGAAUUUUCAAUUUCCAUGCAGUGAGUAAACGAAUUUUUUAACCUCUUUCAAGAUAAAAUGCCUAAAUUUACGAUCACGGAGAGAAUUUUUAUACCUGAAUUCCAACUAAAAUAUUAUGUACUACCUACGCGUUGAGCAAAUGCCGAAAAAAACUUUGAUCUAUAAUAAAAUUAUAUUUUUAUUCUGAAAACAA